Molecule: long non-coding RNA, 720 nt
Organism: Scophthalmus maximus (turbot)
Lineage: Eukaryota; Metazoa; Chordata; Actinopteri; Pleuronectiformes; Scophthalmidae
Exons: 3
Source: RefSeq, a predicted model, not a curated record
GUUAGCAACGGCGGCUAAUACUUAGCUUGUUGGAGUGACAAAGCAGGGGCAGUAGCAGCAGCAGAAUCGGCGGACGGCGCAGCGAAGGGAGUCCGCGGUCUCUAGCUGUCCCCGGCCCCGGUGAGGACGAGCACGACUCCCCGCUGGAAGUGGUGGUUCGAGGUCCGGAGCUCGUGAGGGGACGUGCCGACGAGCGGACCUGAAUAUUUUGCCGACGUGAAGCGACGCAGUCCGACAGGCUUGUGCUGCAGACCCUGUAGAGUGACACCUCCCCCUGUAGGACCAGAGCAGGACUUCAUCCCAGAAGCCUGAAAUAAGUUGGCUACCACGGCAUGGCAUUUUCCAAUCUCGUUUCACAAGAAGAGAAAUCAUCAUGAUUCCCGCGAAGUAACAAACAGUUUCUCCUCCACUGGAUAUUGGUCUUCACACAAUCGCCAAGGGCCGCCGGCCGUGGCUGUUACCCGCAGCCGGUGAUGUUCCAGAUGGUGACAGGUUUCCCCUCCAGUUGUCUGCCAGUCUUGGCUCUCAGCCACCUGUGAGUCAGGUAGGGCAGGUGGGGUGAGGACAGCUUGGCAACAAAACGCCGCGGCACAGGAGCCCAGGUGAUGCUGUGGGAUUUGAGAGAGCAGGCUGAUCUCUGACGCGGAUCAGUAAGAAUUAAUUUGUUAUCUUAUCUAACACCUUACACAAACAAAAUAAAGAGUCAGUUUGUGUAAUGUG